CAUUUCAGCCAUAUCACCCUGCAGCUCAAGACUGGUUACUCACUGAAGCUAAGCAGGGCUGAGCCUGGUCAGUACCUGGAUGGAAGACCAGUAGGGAACACUAGGUUGCUGUUGGAA
This 117-nucleotide ribosomal RNA is filed under the name Danio rerio (zebrafish). Lineage: Eukaryota; Metazoa; Chordata; Actinopteri; Cypriniformes; Danionidae. The record is from RNAcentral.